GAGCACGUAGGUGGGUUUGUAAGUCAGAUGUGAAAGCCUUCUGUUCAACGGAAGAAUUGCAUCUGAAACUACAGACCUUGAGUGUAGGAGGGGAGAAUGGAACUUCUGGUGGAGCGGUGAAAUGCGUAGAUAUCAGAAGGAACGCCGGCGGCGAAAGCGAUUCUCUGGCCUAUUACUGACACUCAGUGUGCGAAAGCUAGGGGAGCAAACGGGAUUAGAUACCCCGGUAGUCCUAGCUGUAAACGAUGGGCACUAAGUAGAGGGGUUUU
Molecule: ribosomal RNA, 269 nt
Filed under: uncultured Planctomycetota bacterium
Lineage: Bacteria; Pseudomonadati; Planctomycetota
Description: uncultured planctomycete partial 16S ribosomal RNA
Rfam family: Bacterial small subunit ribosomal RNA
Source: RNAcentral